CAACUGGCUCCCACUGUAAGGCAGAAAAGAUCUUGCUGCUUCCAUUAGGAAGCUUUCUCUUCCUGAGGAUGUCUCCUGAGUACUGGCAUUGAGCUGAAUCCUGGACACAGUUGUCUUGGUGAUGAGUAACUGAUCAGAGUCAGAAAUGCCAUCAGACCUUGAAGCCAAGGACAGGAAAUCUGGGCAGUGUGAUGUGCUUCUCUCCAGAAAACACAUCCAGAAUCUGAAAUGAAAAAUCUGUCAAGCAUGUGGUUGUACCACAGAGGAUGGCCUGCUGGGGAAUGGAGGAGCUGGCACACUGAGAGAGGCAUCAAUUUCUGAAGUCCUGAAGCCUAAUUUUUGCCAUAGGCUGCCCUCCCUUAAAAGGAACUUGAAAAGAAAA
Molecule: long non-coding RNA, 382 nt
Organism: Suricata suricatta (meerkat)
Lineage: Eukaryota; Metazoa; Chordata; Mammalia; Carnivora; Herpestidae
Exons: 3
Source: RefSeq, a predicted model, not a curated record